Molecule: ribosomal RNA, 293 nt
Filed under: uncultured Micromonosporaceae bacterium
Lineage: Bacteria; Bacillati; Actinomycetota; Actinomycetes; Micromonosporales; Micromonosporaceae
Description: partial 16S ribosomal RNA
Rfam family: Bacterial small subunit ribosomal RNA
Source: RNAcentral
GUCGAGCGGAAACCCCUUCGAGGAACACGAGCGGCGAACUUCUGAGUAACAAGAAAACAACCUGCCCUGCGCUUUGGGAUAACCUUCGGAAACGGUUGCCAAUACCGGAUAUGACCUGUCACCGCAUGGUGGGGGGUGGAAAGUGUUUAGUGGCGUGGGAUGGGCUCGCGGCCUAUCAGCUUGUUGGUGGGGUGAUGGCUUACCAAGGCUUUGACGGGUAGCCGGCCUGAGAGGGCGACCGGCCACACUGGGACUGAGACACGGCCCAGACUCCUACGGGAGGCAGCAGUGGG